UUCGCUCGCGGCUGUUCUGACUCGUCUGGGUCUCCCUGACUCCGAAACGCUGGCUCUGGGCCGAGCGACUGUCCUGUUAGGUCCGGGAAGAGUCGUUUUCCGCGUGGCGCAGAGGCGGGCCUGAGGUUCGCCACUCGGCACGGGCUUCCCCGCGCCCGGCCUGGGAUGGAGACCGUGGCGCCCGCGACCCCCUCUUCUCCCGCAGCUCCGCCCGCAGAGCUCGAUGGCGGCGGCCGCGCGGAGGACCCGCCUCAGGUCUCCCGUGAGAAGGGCAUUUCCCAGGCAGGACUCCUAGGGCAGAUCCAUCGUUCAUGAAGAGCCACCCCUGUGAAAUGUGUGGCCUCACAGACAAUUGGCACUUGGAUGAGCAGCAGCCAACACAUGACAGGCAGAAACUGCACAGAUUUGUAGAAAUGGAAUUGCUGCAAAAAAGUACUGCAUGUUCAUGCUGGAUAUGACAAGCUUCCUUUUCUACAGUUUGUUCCAGUUUGUACUCAAACCAACAGGAAAUCAUGACCGCAGGGAUGUGGCAUUGUGCUCAGGACGAACGAGGGCAGUCUCUUCCCAGGUCCUGCAGAGGAGCCGUGGAGCCUGCUGUGCACAACUGUUGAGGGAUCAUCCUCAUUCCAGACACGCUGGACUCACAGGACGAGGGGGCAGGACGCUGCAACCGACUGCUGGGCACGUGCCUCUCAGGACAGCAUCCGCCUGACCCGCCACUGUGGCUGGGAAGGAUGAGCAGAGCUGCACCUGUUCCCAGGCUAGGGGUCUAAUUGGAGCUGUAGCCGCCCGCCUACGCCAGAGCCAUAGCAACGCCAGAUCCGAGCUGCAUCUGCGACCUACACCACAGCUCACGGCAACGCUGGAUCCUUAACCCACUGAGCAAGGCCAGAGAUAGAACCUGCAAACUCAUAAUUCUUCGUCAGAUUCGUUUCUGCUGUGCCACGACAGGAACUACAAAAAAAUUUUUUUUAAAUGGGUAGAGAGUUCCCACCAUGGUUAAGAAUCUGACUGAUGUGGCUCAGGUCACUGGAGGUGCAGUGAUCUCUGGCCCAGGGCAGUGGUUUAAGGAUCUGGUGUUGAUGCAGCUGUGGCUCAUUCCAUCUGCAGGUGCAGCCAGAAAAAGAAAAAUGGGCAGAAGAAACAGACAUGCUUUUCAAAGUGGAAAAGCAGAUGGCCAACAUCGCUAAUCACCAGGGAAAUACCAAUCAAAACCACACUGAGCUAUCGCCUCACACCAGUCAGGAUGGCCAUUGUCAGAAAGAACACAAAUAACAAACACUGGAGCAAGUGUGGAGAAAAGGGAACACUCGUGCAGUACUGGUGAGAAUGUUAAUUGGUGCAGCUAGUGUACAAAAAAUGGAGGUUCCCCCCCACACACACACAAAAAUAGAACUACUUUGUGACCCAGCAUUCCCCUCCUGGGCAUACAUCUGAAAAAAUAAAAACACCAAUUCAAAAUGAUACAGGUACCCCAGGGUUCACAGCAGUUUCACUUACAACUGCUAAGACAUGGGAACAGCCUACAGUGUCCUUCAAUACUUGAAUGGGUGGAUACACAAUGGAAUACCACUGGAUCAUUUAGAAAGAACAAAAUGUUGCCAUUUACAGCAACAUGGAUAGAGUUGGUGAGCAUUAGCCUACAUGAAGUAAGUUAAAGAGAAACACUAGUGCAGUGGCUUACUGCCAGAAAAGCUGCAAAUUAACUUCAAGAAGACAAAGUAAUAAAAUGUAGUAUGAUUAGGAAGUUGGCAGUUCUAAUUAAAUAGUUUUAAUGGAGGUAUAAUUGACUUAAAACAAACUGCACAUUCUGACGUGUGCUCAUAACCCUGAAACUAAGUUUCCUCCUGCCUUUUCAAAUGUAUCCUCAACAUAUAAAAUUCCUGAUACAGUGACAUAUUCUAUAUUUUGUUACGGCUAUUUUCAAAUAUAUACAGAAAGUGAAGAAUGUUUUGAAGCCAGAUGGAUCCCUCCCAGUCACUUCAUGGCCAUUCUUCUCCUUUCAUCUAUUGCCAUGUACACCAGCGGAGGAGUUUCCCACCAUCCCCCCUGACUCACGAUUUUGCUUUCUGAGGUUUCAGUUAGCCAUAGUCAACCAAGCUCUGAAAAGCUAAAAGGAAAAUUCCACAAAUAAGCAUCUGUGAGUGUUAAACUCUGUGCCAGUCUGCACAAGCACGUCUCCUGCCGCCCUCUUCAUCCCCCCACGAUGUCCAUCAUCCCUUUGGCCGGUGCAUCCAAGCGGGCGUCGUAUCAUCGCACAUGCUCACACUUAGUGAACCACAAGAUACUGAGCGAGAACACAUUCACUUUUAUUGCAGUCAACUGUUCUGUUUUAUUAUUGGUUAAUCUCUUACUACGCUUACUUUAUACAUUAAACUUAAUCACAGGUAUGUAUGCAUAGGAAAAAAACAUAGUAUAUAUAAGGUUUAGUAUGAUCCAUGGUUUCUGGCAUCUACUUGGGGAUCUUCGAAUGGUUUACUGCACAUUUUUCGAAGAUUUUUGCUGCAGAUAAGGGGUGACAACUGCACCUAUAAUUCCAAGCAUGUUAUCAUUUAAUGCAUAACCUCUUCAGAAUAGAUUUUAUUACUUUUUUAUUUUUAGGGCUGCACCUGAGACAUCUGGAUGUACCCAGGCUAGGGGUCCAACUGGAGCUGCAGCUGCCUGCCUACACCAUAACCACAGGCCAGAUCAUUAACCCAUUGAUCGAUACCAGGGGUCAAACCUGCGUUCUUAUGGAUACUGAUUGGGUUCAUUAUCACUGAACCACAAUGGGAACUCCAGAAUACAUUUUUUAAAUGUAAGGUAAUCCUUCAUAACCCCAAAAGUUAUAAAAAUACAUUUUAUUAAUGCUCAAUUGUUUCAAAAAUGAAUUUGCUUAAGUCAGAUUAGUUGAAGUCAGAGUCCAAAAUGUAUUCUUACGUCUUUCAUUAGCUGUGUCUCACAGGUCUCUUUACAUAUGAGGUCCACUUAUCUUUUAAAAUUCUUAGUUCUUAUAAUUUGCUGUCAUUUAUUCAUCAGAAUUUUCUACAUUCUAGAUAUGGCUUUUUGAGUCUCUGAUACUGUUUAACUGAUCACCCUUCCUCUGUAAUUCUUGUCCACUAGAUGUUGAUGAGAUGGGUGACAAGAUUUGAUCCCUUAAGACAGGUGUUUGAUGAUGACUGUUAGGGAAGUAAAAACAAAAAUUUCUCCCAACCUAGAAAUUUUUUUUUUUUUUUUUUUUUUUGUCUUUUAGCCUUUUCUAGGGCCACUCCCUCGGCAUAUAGAGGUUCCCAGGCUAGGGGUCUAAUUGGAACUACAGCCGCUGGCGCCAGAGCCACAGCAAUGUGGGAUGCGAGCCGAGUCUACAACCUACACCACAGCUCACAGGAACACUGGAUCCUUAACCCAUUGAGCGAGGCCAGGGAUCGAACCCGCAACCUCAUGGUUCCUAGUCGGAUUCGUUCACCACUGUGCCACGAUGGCAACUCCCAACCUAGAAAUUCUUUCCACAAAGAUAGCAGAGACAGAAAACUGCUUUUCUUGUUGAUAAGCAUUAAAGCAAAAUAGAUGUGCAUCACAAGUGAUCUACCAGGAAAUUGCAAAGGCAGCAAAAAACUCUGCAUAUGUCCAAGCAGAUAUAUCCCACUGAAUACAUUUUUUCCCUUUUUUGGGCCACACCUGCAGUAUAUGGAAGUUCCCAGGCUAGGGGUCGAAUUGAAGCUGUAGCCGCCAGCCUACACCAGAGCCACAGCAACGCGAGAUCCCAGCUGCGUCUGCGACCUACACCAUAGCUCAUGGCAAUACCGGAUCCUUAACCCACUGAGCAGGGCCAGGGAUUGAACUUGAAACCUCAUUGAUACUAGUCAGGCUCAUGAUUGCUGAGCUGCAAGAGAGCUCUGCAUACGUAUAUUCGAGAAAAACAGUAACUGGUCCUCAUGUAAGAGGAGCUGACAGAACCAUUUGUCACAGAGUCCUAAUUUUACCGGCUAAUUGGGGUGACCUGUUAGCUAACUGGUUUUAUCCAGAGGAAGAAUCAACUUCUCACCUUUCAAGAGGGAGCUUUGUAGUUGGAGCAAGGCGUCUGCUAAGAUGAGACUCCUGUCCUCACACCAGCUGACCCUCCUUUGUCUGCAGUUUGGACAGAUGGGUUCCACGUUCUUGAGAAAAACAUUCUGAUUCACAAAACUGAAAGGGAAAAAUGACCAGCUGAAAAAAGGCCUGUCUAGUCUUCAACGACAUGCAUGUUAAAGAUAUGAGACAGUUCUCAGAAUUUUUCAAAGAUAAAUGCUCUGAGGGAGAAGGAGGAAGCAUCUUUCCCUAUUUUCAACAGGGAGAAUUAAGCCAUUUUU
This 4328-nucleotide long non-coding RNA is filed under the name Sus scrofa (pig). RNAcentral describes it as "lncRNA (ENSSSCG00045003571.1)". The record is from RNAcentral. Lineage: Eukaryota; Metazoa; Chordata; Mammalia; Artiodactyla; Suidae.